AAUGGCUGACACAGUUAAAAAAUUAAUUCACCCAACCUAAAGACGGCCAAUGGGUCUGUGUUCCAGAUCCAUGCUAACUCUAUUCCUAACAUGGAAUGCAUGGGUUGACAGUUUUGGGAUAGUAGCAAUUUUAAAUUUUUGUUUGUCUCAAAGUCUGGCAGUGAGCAACAUGAAAAAUACUUCUUGAAGCAGGGAUACAAGAGGACGGUAUCAUGAACUGCUGUACUGAAUGAAGCUUACCAACACCCACAACCUGCAGUGAAAUAAAAGUGGAACUAAACAAAACAAUCCCAGAUUUUGCUGUGGGAGAUAUGUCCAGCUAUUUGACUACCGAAGGCACUGCAGCUGCUGAAAUCUAACUUCUAGUUUUCAACACCCUUCACUUUGGUUAGCGAGUUUUCAAGCACCAUCCUUUCAUCAAACUAUACCAAGCCCCUCUCCACAUCUUCACACCAAGGAAACCCUUCAAGCUGAGACCAAGGAAUUCCCUGAAAAACAAAGAACUGCGGACGGUGGAAAUCAGAAACAAAAACAGGAAUUGUUGGAAGAACACAGCAGGUUUGGCAGCAUCUGUGAAGAGAAAUCAAGAUACCGGCCCAGAAGCUAUUUGAUUCUCUGGUUUAGUCACGAUUUGGCAAGCAACACUCCCAGGGAGCGAUAGAAGAAAAGGAACUUUGAAUUAACAGUAACCACUGGUAAGAGAAUUUGAAAACAGGAACAAAAACAGAAGUUGCUUGAAAAGCUCAGCAAGUCUAGAAACAUCUGUGAAGAAAAAAAUAGAAUUAACAUUUCGGAUCCGGUGACUCUUCCUCAGAACUGAAAACAGGAUCUGGCUUGGACAUCAUUUUAUACCUCAACUCUUAAUUCCUAAAACCUAGGGGACCAUAUUUGGUAUACCUACUGUCUUUAAACAGACUUGAACAUUUUAGGUGAGAGAAUCAUUUACUUGAUUUCAUAGCAUACAGCGGUCAUGGGUGAAGUUGCGUGCUGUGGCCAUGUACUUUAAAAAAAAUUCUAAUGAAAUGACACAAAGCAGAAAUGUUCACUCUCAUUGUGUCAUCACAGAUGCUGCCAGACCACUUGAACGUUUCUAGCUUUUUCUGAUUUUAUUCCAAAAAAUUGCU
Long non-coding RNA from Stegostoma tigrinum, 1124 nucleotides. RefSeq lists it as uncharacterized. The transcript has 4 exons. Lineage: Eukaryota; Metazoa; Chordata; Chondrichthyes; Orectolobiformes; Stegostomatidae. The record is from RefSeq and is a predicted model, not a curated record.